GGGGCUAUAACUUAAUUGGUAAAGUGUGUGUUUUGCUUGCAAGACGUUAGCGGUUCAAGUCCGCUUGGCUCCA
This 73-nucleotide transfer RNA is filed under the name Candidatus Hodgkinia cicadicola. Its description in RNAcentral is "tRNA-Ala". It matches the Rfam family "tRNA". From Rfam's summary of the family: Transfer RNA (tRNA) molecules are approximately 80 nucleotides in length. The record is from RNAcentral. Lineage: Bacteria; Pseudomonadati; Pseudomonadota; Alphaproteobacteria; Hyphomicrobiales.